UAUGUUUACUUGACCGACGUUGCUUCGGCGGGCCCGAUCUCUACGGACCGCCGGGGGACUCUAACAAGUCCUCUGGCCUGUGCCCGCCGGUGGCCACCUUCUAAAAAAUUCUCUAGAAUCGUGUCUCCUGUCUAAGUCUAUGAUUUCUUCAAUGAAAAAACAAAAAACUUUCAACAACGGAUCUCUUGGUUCUGGCAUCGAUGAAGAACGCAGCGAAAUGCGAUAAGUAAUGCGAAUUGCAGAAUUCCAGUGAGUCAUCGAAUCUUUGAACGCACAUUGCGCCCUUUGGUAUUCCGAAGGGCAUGCCUGUUCGAGCGUCAUUAUCACCCCUCAAGCCCCCUGGGUUUGGCAUUGGACGGUCUGGUUUCGGUUGACGAAACCCCUCCUAAAGUGAAUGACGGCGGCUUGUCUGACCCCCGGUACACUGAGCUUCUUAACUGAGCACGUAUCGGUUCAAGUGGUUGGCAGACGACGGUCUCCUCCCUCUCAGCAGGGAAAAGAAGUCCUUCUUCUUUAUUUUACAAGGUUGACCUCGGAUCAGGUAGGGAUACCCGCUGAACUUAAGCAUAUCAAUAA
This 576-nucleotide ribosomal RNA is filed under the name Ascomycota sp. OY19307. RNAcentral's name for it is "eukaryotic LSU rRNA". The stretch from base 166 to 320 matches the Rfam family "5.8S ribosomal RNA". Lineage: Eukaryota; Fungi; Ascomycota. The record is from RNAcentral.